Long non-coding RNA from Canis lupus familiaris (dog), 622 nucleotides. RefSeq lists it as uncharacterized. The record is from RefSeq and is a predicted model, not a curated record. The transcript has 3 exons. NCBI's taxonomy places the organism in Eukaryota, Metazoa, Chordata, Mammalia, Carnivora, Canidae.
UCCUACAGCACAAAGCACUCCACAACUUGAUCUGAACCUCUUAUUUUUAGCUGUUUCUACCACUUCAGGCGCCGAUUCCAUCCCAGCAAUUGCCAAACUGUUCCAUGGCAUACUUCCAAGAAAUCUUAAUAGGCCUUAAUAGGCCUGACUCUCCUGGGAAAUUCAUCCCCACAAAAGGUCUCUGGACUUCUACUUUGCCGGCUCUGAAAUGUGGCCAACAUCUUAAAGAGAUGUCCAAAGACAGGAGGAAAACAGAAAAGUCCAUUUGGCAUGGUGAAGAGAAAGUCCUAGAUAGAACUAUCCAGCACUCCGAGGGAACCGUGUAUUCUGCACAUCUUGUUUCCGUGGCUUAAGCCUUACCUGCCAAUGACGUCCUUAGGGUCGUACUUCUGGUAAAACUCUUUGGCCGCAGCCCAGUCGGGCAGCUCAUCCUCCGGCCCCACGUCCAGCGUCAUUCUGAAGGUGGUGGGGGCCUGUGUGGAGGAAACGGAGGGCAGUGAGGGCAGUGAGGGCAGUGAGGCCCAAAGGCUCUGGGAGGACGCACAUCGCGGCUCGCGGAAGCGCAGCCCUUGUGGCUGGGGCGCCAGGAUCUUCGGGGAUGGGGACGGGGUGGGGUAAGGAU